RNAcentral lists this unclassified non-coding RNA (161 nucleotides) under Agrilus planipennis (emerald ash borer). Its description in RNAcentral is "rap guanine nucleotide exchange factor-like, transcript variant X1". The record is from RNAcentral. Lineage: Eukaryota; Metazoa; Arthropoda; Insecta; Coleoptera; Buprestidae.
AUAUACAUUUUUUGGAAUUAUUAUUUUAUCCACAUCCACAUUUUGGUAUCCUCUCUUCUUGAUUGAACUUUGGAAUUUACAAUGGUUUUGGCAAGAGGACCGGGGGCAGUGCUCGUAGACAAAACGAGUGCUUCGUUCUGGAACCUUCUGAGAUGAUUGUG